RNAcentral lists this ribosomal RNA (266 nucleotides) under Limosilactobacillus fermentum. Its description in RNAcentral is "Lactobacillus fermentum partial 16S ribosomal RNA". It matches the Rfam family "Bacterial small subunit ribosomal RNA", at positions 374 to 632 of the family's 1533-position model. Lineage: Bacteria; Bacillati; Bacillota; Bacilli; Lactobacillales; Lactobacillaceae. The record is from RNAcentral.
GGCGCAAGCCUGAUGGAGCAACACCGCGUGAGUGAAGAAGGGUUUCGGCUCGUAAAGCUCUGUUGUUAAAGAAGAACACGUAUGAGAGUAACUGUUCAUACGUUGACGGUAUUUAACCAGAAAGUCACGGCUAACUACGUGCCAGCAGCCGCGGUAAUACGUAGGUGGCAAGCGUUAUCCGGAUUUAUUGGGCGUAAAGAGAGUGCAGGCGGUUUUCUAAGUCUGAUGUGAAAGCCUUCGGCUUAACCGGAGAAGUGCAUCGGAAA